This 56-nucleotide transfer RNA is filed under the name Alligator mississippiensis (American alligator). It matches the Rfam family "tRNA", at positions 9 to 63 of the family's 71-position model. From Rfam's summary of the family: Transfer RNA (tRNA) molecules are approximately 80 nucleotides in length. Their secondary structure includes four short double-helical elements and three loops (D, anti-codon, and T loops). Further hydrogen bonds mediate the characteristic L-shaped molecular structure. tRNAs have two regions of fundamental functional importance: the anti-codon, which is responsible for specific mRNA codon recognition, and the 3' end, to which the tRNAs corresponding amino acid is attached (by aminoacyl-tRNA synthetases). tRNAs cope with the degeneracy of the genetic code in two manners: having more than one tRNA (with a specific anti-codon) for a particular amino acid; and 'wobble' base-pairing, i.e. permitting non-standard base-pairing at the 3rd anti-codon position. Lineage: Eukaryota; Metazoa; Chordata; Crocodylia; Alligatoridae. The record is from Rfam by way of RNAcentral.
AGCUCAGAGGUGACAGCACUGGUCUAAUAAACCAGGGGUGCGAGUUCAAAUCUCAC